This 1967-nucleotide ribosomal RNA is filed under the name human gut metagenome. RNAcentral describes it as "bacterial LSU rRNA". It matches the Rfam family "Bacterial large subunit ribosomal RNA", at positions 1 to 1983 of the family's 2925-position model. The record is from RNAcentral.
GAAAGUAGGAAAGGGCGCAUGGCGGAUGCCUUGGCUCUCGGAGGCGAUGAAGGACGUGAUAAGCUGCGAUAAGUCACGGGGAGGUGCAAAUAACCUUUGAUCCGUGAAUCUCCGAAUGGGACAACCCGAUAUCCUGAAGGGAUAUCACCUCAUCUAGUUGAGGAGCUAACGCAGGGAACUGAAACAUCUUAGUACCUGCAGGAAAAGAAAAUAACAAUGAUUCCCCCAGUAGUGGCGAGCGAACGGGGAAGAGCCCAAACCACACAUGUUACGGCAUGUGUGGGGUUGUAGGACCACGGCGUUGCAAGAACUCUUGUGAGAAGAACAGCCUGGAAAGACUGACCAGAGACGGUGACAGUCCGGUAUUCGAAGCAAGACGAAGCAUAGUGGUAUCCUGAGUAGCGCGGAACACGAGGAAUUCUGCGUGAAUCUGCCGGGACCAUCCGGUAAGGCUAAAUACUCCCGAGAGACCGAUAGUGGACCAGUACCGUGAGGGAAAGGUGAAAAGCACUUCGAACAGAAGAGUGAAAGAGUACCUGAAACCGUGCGCCUACAAGCGGUCGGAGCACGAAAGUGUGACGGCGUGCCUUUUGCAUAAUGAACCUACGAGUUACCGUAUCUGGCAAGGUUAAGGGUCACGAGACCUGCAGCCGAAGCGAAAGCGAGUCUGAAGAGGGCGUCGAGUCAGUUGCGGUAGACGCGAAACCAAGUGAUCUACCCUUGGCCAGGAUGAAGUCUGGGUAACACCAGAUGGAGGUCCGCACCAAUAAGCGUUGAAAAGCUUCUGGAUGAGCUGAGGGUAGGGGUGAAAGGCUAAUCAAACUUGGAGAUAGCUCGUACUCCCCGAAAUGCAUUUAGGUGCAGCCUCGCGGGUUACUGAUGUGAGGUAGAGCGACUGAUUGGAUGCGAGGGCUUCACCGCCUAUCAAGUCCUGACAAACUCCGAAUGCGCAUCAGUUUUACCGCGGGAGUGAGGGCAUGGGUGCUAAGGUCCGUGCCCGAGAGGAGAAGAAUCCGGACUAUCAGCUAAGGCCCCGAAAUGACAGCUAAGUUAAACUAACGAAGUCUGAUUGCUAAGACAGCUAGGAUGUUGGCUUGGAAGCAGCCAUUCAUUUAAAGAGUGCGUAACAGCUCACUAGUCGAGGAAUCGGGCGUGGAUAAUAAUCGGGUAUUAAGUUGUCUGCCGAAGCUAUAGAAUCAGCAAUGAUUGGUAGGGGAGCAUUCCAUUCUGCGUUGAAGGCGUGGCGUGAGCCAUUCUGGAGCGUAUGGAAAAGCAAAUGUAGGUAUAAGUAACGAUAAAGGGGGUGAGAAACCCCCUCGCCGAAAGACUAAGGUUUCCUGAUCAACGCUAAUCGGAUCAGGGUAAGUCGGGUCCUAAGGUUCAGCCGAACGGCGAGACCGAUGGCAGAAACGGUUAAUAUUCCGUUACUACCUUUGAGGGUGACGUGGGGACGCAGGAGUGACACCGCCGCCGGCUGACGGAAUAGCCGGUUAAAGAGUGUAGACGUUGAUUUCCGCAGGCAAAUCCACGGAAAGAGUCGAACUUGACAGUAUGGAACGUCCUUCGGGACAAUCCAAUAGUGCGGGUAAGCAGACUGCCUAGAAAAUCCGCUAAACAUAACUUCAGAGGUACCCGUACCGCAAACGGACACACGUAGUCGGGUUGAAUAUACUAAGGCGCUUGAGUGAAUCACGGUUAAGGAACUAGGCAAACUGACCCUGUAACUUCGGGAUAAAGGGUCCCUACCCAGAAAUGGGAGGGCGCAGAGAAUAGGUCCAGGCAACUGUUUAACAAAAACACAGGGCUGUGCCAAUAUGAAAGUAGACGUAUACAGCCUGACACCUGCCCGGUGCUGGAAGGUUAAGAGGAGAUGUCAUCGCAAGAGAAGCAUUGAAUUGAAGCCCCAGUAAACGGCGGCCGUAACUAUAACGGUCCUAAGGUAGCGAAAUUCCUUGUCGGGUAAGUUC